RNAcentral lists this ribosomal RNA (443 nucleotides) under uncultured Curtobacterium sp. Its description in RNAcentral is "bacterial SSU rRNA". It matches the Rfam family "Bacterial small subunit ribosomal RNA", at positions 940 to 1382 of the family's 1533-position model. The record is from RNAcentral. Lineage: Bacteria; Bacillati; Actinomycetota; Actinomycetes; Micrococcales; Microbacteriaceae.
UGCGGUAUUAAUUCGAUGCAACGCGAAGAACCUUACCAAGGCUUGACAUACACCGGUAACGCCCAGAGAUGGGUGCCCCUUUGUGGUCGGUGUACAGGUGGUGCAUGGCUGUCGUCAGCUCGUGUCGUGAGAUGUUGGGUUAAGUCCCGCAACGAGCGCAACCCUCGUCCUAUGUUGCCAGCGGGUCAUGCCGGGGACUCAUGGGAGACUGCCGGGGUCAACUCGGAGGAAGGUGGGGAUGACGUCAAAUCAUCAUGCCCCUUAUGUCUUGGGCUUCACGCAUGCUACAAUGGCCGGUACAAAGGGCUGCGAUACCGCGAGGUGGAGCGAAUCCCAGAAAGCCGGUCUCAGUUCGGAUUGGGGUCUGCAACUCGACCCCAUGAAGUCGGAGUCGCUAGUAAUCGCAGAUCAGCAACGCUGCGGUGAAUACGUUCCCGGGCCUU